RNAcentral lists this ribosomal RNA (448 nucleotides) under uncultured Glomus. Its description in RNAcentral is "SSU rRNA". It matches the Rfam family "Eukaryotic small subunit ribosomal RNA", at positions 569 to 1024 of the family's 1831-position model. Lineage: Eukaryota; Fungi; Glomeromycota; Glomeromycetes; Glomerales; Glomeraceae. The record is from RNAcentral.
AGCAGCCGCGGUAAUUCCAGCUCCAAUAGCGUAUAUUAAAGUUGUUGCAGUUAAAAAGCUCGUAGUUGAAUUUCGAGACCGGUUUACUGGUCGUGCUUUUGUACGUACUGGUAUUAUUGGUUUCUCCUUUCUGACGAAUCUUAAUGCCAUUAAUUUGGUGUUUUGGGGAAUCAGGACUGUUACUUUGAAAAAAUUAGAGUGUUUAAAGCAGGCUCACGCUUGAAUACAUUAGCAUGGAAUAACGAAAUAGGACGUUUGAUUUUAUUUGUUGGUUUCUAGGAUCGACGUAAUGAUUAAUAGGGAUAGUUGGGGCAUUAGUAUUCAAUUGUCAGAGGUGAAAUUCUUGGAUUUAUUGAAGACUAACUACUGCGAAAGCAUUUGCCAAGGAUGUUUUCAUUAAUACAAGAACGAAAGUUAGGGAUCGAAGACGAUCAGAUACCGUCGUAGU